UACGUACUGUGCGAACGUUAUUCGGAAUCACUGGGCUUAAAGGGUGCGUAGGCGGCCGACUCAGUAGGGUGUGAAAGGCCUCGGCUCAACCGGGGCAUGGCGCUCUAAACUGGUCGGCUCGAGUGAGAUAGGGGUGUGCGGAACUUCCAGUGGAGCGGUGAAAUGUGUUGAUAUUGGAAGGAACGCCGGUGGCGAAAGCGGCACACUGGGUCUCAACUGACGCUGAGGCACGAAAGCCAGGGUAGCGAACGGG
This 253-nucleotide unclassified non-coding RNA is filed under the name uncultured Planctomycetales bacterium. RNAcentral describes it as "contains 16S-23S intergenic spacer region". It matches the Rfam family "Bacterial small subunit ribosomal RNA", at positions 524 to 776 of the family's 1533-position model. The record is from RNAcentral. Lineage: Bacteria; Pseudomonadati; Planctomycetota; Planctomycetia; Planctomycetales.